RNAcentral lists this long non-coding RNA (1325 nucleotides) under Brassica napus (rape). Its description in RNAcentral is "long non-coding RNA (BNAP_LNC023094)". The record is from RNAcentral. Lineage: Eukaryota; Viridiplantae; Streptophyta; Magnoliopsida; Brassicales; Brassicaceae.
AAUCUUCCAGUUUUUCCACUAGUCAUCAGUCUGGUUCGUUUUCAAGCCAGCCUGGAGUAUUCUCCAGCAGUCCAUUUGGUUUAGCAUCCAAUAGCCAAACUGGAUCUUUUAGCAGUGGCCAGUUUGGUUUAGCCAAGAGCAGCCCACCUAGCCUAUUUUCUAGCACUCAAGCAGGAGGGAUCUCUAAUAGCCAACCUUCUUUCUCAUUUUCUAAUAACCAAAACCCUUUUUCAUCUGGAGGUAUCUACUUCCCAUUACCAAAAUGCAUUUUAUGGGACUUGUCAUUACUUUGAUAUCAGUGACCUAACCUCUACUUUCUUUAGUUACUCCAGUGUCCAUACCUGCAAAGCGAGAUUCUCCAGAUGAUGCAGAGGCUGGUAAGUUUUUUGACCACUGUAAUACUGAUUUAAAACCAAUAUUUAAAUAUCUAUUGUUACAAAAACCAAAGGCGUAAUGGGCGUGUAAAGAUUGGAUUCUUUUGACUCUGCAGAAGAUGAACCACCUCAACCGAGCAGCCCAUCUGUCAAAAAAACCGAAGAGAAGGGAGUUACUGUGGUUCAUGAAGUUAAAUGCAAACUCUAUGUCAAGGUAUGUGUUAUCUGAAACUUGGAUGUUAUCUUUCCCCUUUCUCAAUAUACUGUUCCAAAUACUUUGCUGUUGUUCAUAAAUGUAUAUAGCCAACACGAAUGAAACCAUUAAGGUUGUUAGAGAUGGAAAUGUUUUUUUUUCCUAAUUACUAUUCUUACUCGAAGUCUUAUUAGGUGUUAUAGUGGUUGUGAAGUAGUUUCAUGUCUCUCUAUUUUACUGACAUUGAUGUUCUAAUCUUGCUGUAGUAACUUGUUGUAACUUUGUGUAUUAUGUAGUCAAAUGACCCAACAGAUAAAGGUGCAUGGAAAGAUAAAGGAACGGGGAAUCUCUACAUAAAAUGCAAAGAAGAGAAUCUCGUGGACCAGAGAAGAAACCAAUGGCUGAAGUCAAGAAUAGCGACGUUAAACCAGUUUCAAAUACCAGCUUGUUUACUUCAAACAAUCAGCCUGGGCUCUUCUUAACCAAUCAAUCUUCCAGUUUUUCCACUAGUCAUCAGUCUGGUUCGUUUUCAAGCCAGCCUGGAGUAUUCUCCAGCAGUCCAUUUGGUUUAGCAUCCAAUAGCCAAACUGGAUCUUUUAGCAGUGGCCAGUUUGGUUUAGCCAAGAGCAGCCCACCUAGCCUAUUUUCUAGCACUCAAGCAGGAGGGAUCUCUAAUAGCCAACCUUCUUUCUCAUUUUCUAAUAACCAAAACCCUUUUUCAUCUGGAGGUAUCUACUUCCCAUUACCAAAAUGCAUUU